RNAcentral lists this ribosomal RNA (292 nucleotides) under uncultured bacterium. RNAcentral's name for it is "partial 16S ribosomal RNA". It matches the Rfam family "Bacterial small subunit ribosomal RNA", at positions 505 to 796 of the family's 1533-position model. The record is from RNAcentral.
GUGCCAGCAGCCGCGGUAAUACGUAGGGUGCGAGCGUUGUCCGGAAUUAUUGGGCGUAAAGGGCUCGUAGGCGGUUUGUCGCGUCGGGAGUGAAAACCAGGUGCUUAACACCUGGCUUGCUUUCGAUACGGGCAGACUAGAGGUAUUCAGGGGAGAACGGAAUUCCUGGUGUAGCGGUGAAAUGCGCAGAUAUCAGGAGGAACACCGGUGGCGAAGGCGGUUCUCUGGGAAUGACCUGACGCUGAGGAGCGAAAGUGUGGGGAGCGAACAGGAUUAGAAACCCUGGUAGUCC